GACGUAGGGUGCGAGCGUUGUCCGGAUUUAUUGGGCGUAAAGAGCUCGUAGGCGGCUUGUCGCGUCGACCGUGAAAACUUGGGGCUCAACCCCAAGCCUGCGGUCGAUACGGGCAGGCUAGAGUUCGGUAGGGGAGACUGGAAUUCCUGGUGUAGCGGUGAAAUGCGCAGAUAUCAGGAGGAACACCGGUGGCGAAGGCGGGUCUCUGGACAGUUCCUGACACUGAGGCACGAAGGCCAGGGGAGCAAACGGG
This 253-nucleotide ribosomal RNA is filed under the name uncultured bacterium. RNAcentral describes it as "partial 16S ribosomal RNA". It matches the Rfam family "Bacterial small subunit ribosomal RNA", at positions 524 to 776 of the family's 1533-position model. The record is from RNAcentral.